GAUGAACGCUGGCGGCGUGCCUAAUACAUGCAAGUCGAGCGAACAGACGAGGAGCUUGCUCCUUUGACGUUAGCGGCGGACGGGUGAGUAACACGUGGGUAACCUACCUAUAAGACUGGGAUAACUUCGGGAAACCGGAGCUAAUACCGGAUAAUAUUUCGAACCGCAUGGUUCGAUAGUGAAAGAUGGCUUUGCUAUCACUUAUAGAUGGACCUGCGCCAUAUUAGCUAGUUGGUAAGGUAACGGCUUACCAAGGCAACGAUACGUAGCCGACCUGAGAGGGUGAUCGGCCACACUGGAACUGAGACACGGUCCAGACUCCUACGGGAGGCAGCAGUAGGGAAUCUUCCGCAAUGGGCGAAAGCCUGACGAAGCAACGCCGCGUGAGUGAUGAAGGUCUUCGGAUCGUAAAACUCUGUUAUUAGGGAAGAACAAACGUGUAAGUAACUGUGCACGUCUUGACGGUACCUAAUCAGAAAGCCACGGCUAACUACGUG
RNAcentral lists this ribosomal RNA (497 nucleotides) under uncultured bacterium. RNAcentral describes it as "partial 16S ribosomal RNA". It matches the Rfam family "Bacterial small subunit ribosomal RNA", at positions 28 to 507 of the family's 1533-position model. The record is from RNAcentral.